Molecule: long non-coding RNA, 418 nt
Filed under: Anas platyrhynchos platyrhynchos (common mallard)
Lineage: Eukaryota; Metazoa; Chordata; Aves; Anseriformes; Anatidae
Description: lncRNA (ENSAPLG00000024851.1)
Source: RNAcentral
GGAGACUCCGUGUGUAAGCAGCUGCUGCAAUCAGCAUUAACUCCAGGCUCGCAGAGACAUGCCAGGCAAAAUCUCUUCUGGCACAAGUAUUUUUCUGAGGUGAAAAGGACAUAAAAAGCACCAAGAAAAGUAGCAUUUCAAAAGCCUGAUGUGCAUGGCAGCACCUAGAUACUGAUGACCUGUACAAAGACAUGGGAAGAAAAGGUAUUUGACAGAGCCAUCACCACAACGCACCUGUGUGACCUGCUGAUGGUGUGGGAUGUGCUAGGAUGUGCUAGACGUACCUAAGGGGAAGUCCAGGCACUUAACCCUUAAAGCAGGUAACAAAAAGGGACAGAAGAUGCAAGGCCAAAACCAAAUAUCAGCUGUGAUUAAGAUUGUUACUGAUUCAGUAGACUUUUUAUUUAUACAAAUUAAA